This is a long non-coding RNA of Monodelphis domestica (gray short-tailed opossum), 3384 nucleotides long. RefSeq lists it as uncharacterized. NCBI's taxonomy places the organism in Eukaryota, Metazoa, Chordata, Mammalia, Didelphimorphia, Didelphidae. The record is from RefSeq and is a predicted model, not a curated record.
ACUGAAUUAGAAAAAAAACAUAACAAAUUUCAUUCAGAAGAAUAAAAGAUAUUAAUUCUAAUAAUUUCUUCUCACAUUAACAUGAUAUUAUUUUUCUCUUGGUGCAUUUUUGACUUGUUAUUGUGAACUUUUUAUUACUCCACCCUACUUUGUCUAACAAAAUCAGGAAUGUCUACACCCAUACUUAAGGAUUAAGUAUCUAGGAGGAUGGCCUCUGAUAGACAUGUACUAGCAAAUGACAAAUCAGAAACAGCUGACAGACCCCUGGGCUGUCCUAAGUCAAGCUUAAGCUACCAUUGGUACAGGUGAGACGCAGGAAAGUGAUGUAAAACUUUCUAUAUAUUUCGCGUCACUUCCUCUCUCCAGCCUCUUUUGCAGCAGAGAGGUGCCUGGCAGCAGCUUACUGAGCAUCUUGGCAUCUUGGUGUGGUGGCAGCUAUUGUCCAGUUUAGUGGUGAGUUUCCUUUCAUACCAAACUGGAGGAAGCCUAGUAACCUAGUUCAGGUGGGGUGCCUUCUCUGAACUCUCUUGGAAUUUAGGUUUAUUUUUUCCUCCUUUACCUUCCAAACACUAUCCACUUAGAAGCCUCUAAUCUUCUUCAGAAACUUUGUGGAGGAGGACUUUGAACUCCUCCUGGCACAGGCCAGACGGGUGAAAUCCUAUACCCUUUCCCCCUCUCUUCUCCUUGAUUUCUUCCCUCUAUAUUGAUUAAACCACCAUAGAUUUCCAAACUGACUUGAGUAUUUUAUUUGGGAUAUCCCCAUGUGACCAAAAAUCAAACUUAGAUUAGGUCAUGACCCUAAAUUAUCCUUAUAUUGUAUUGGAUCUCCUUAUACUCCAAAUCUGUAAAAUGAUAGAAUCUUCUAGGCACUGGCCAUGAGAAUUGCUGGAAGCUCCAUAAAAUAAAAGUUUUUGAUCAAGAAUUGCUUGAGAAUUUUGCUCAAGAAACAUAUUUAAUAAGGCCCAUGACACACAUGGACUAAAAGGGAAAUUGUUAGCUCAAAGAUGACCAUGAGAGUCCAAUAUAAAUGGAUAACUAUCUAGCAUAUAGACGAUAUGAGGGAAAUUCCUAAUGUAUAUGAAACAUUUGCUCCCCUCUCAACCUUUCCUACUUUUAGAAACAUUAUGAAAUAAUAUAAUUUCCAUGUCUAGAUUUAAAAUAUUUGUCUCAUUUGAAUGAAAGAUCUCGUCAGUUUUACCUUAUAUAGCUAAAGAGACAGUAUCUAGCCAGUUUUUGGAUUAGCCCAGAAAAGACUGCUCUCUGAAAUGCAUUCAACUAUGAACAGGAGGCUUUUGAUUAAUUCACUUAAUAAAAGUAUCUCUUGAGCUAACCUUUGAUUAGAAUGAAAGGAGACUCCUUAAUGGGAGUGUUUAAAGAGGGGCUGAAUGGUUUCAGGAAUAUAAUUUUCCAGGGUUCGUGGAAAGUCAGGUUAUACCAUGUAAUGAAUCAAGUUGUUACUUGAACUUUAUAACCCCAUCUUAUUAUGGAAUCUUGACUUUUGAUCUGGGAAUACUAUAAAUUGUGAGUGAAAAUGUUUUGGUCAAAAAGAUUUUGAAAGAGGAUGGAUUUCAGUCCUUUUGGGGUUUAUUUCUAAGUGUAAAUACUCUUAUUUAUUCAUUUAUUGAUUAAUUUAUCUGCUUACCUAUCUAUUUAAUUUGUCUUUUGCACAUUUCUGCCUAAAAUGCAGACAUUAGCUUACUACAAAUGAAUCAAAACCUAGCACCUAUAUAAUGAAAAUGGAGUCAUUAACAAUAAUCCCUAAAAAAGAAGGUACACAAUUAUUUUUGGAAAGAGAAUGGCAAUCGAUUAACAAAUGAUAUAAUACCUAGGCCCACAGGGUUUUCCUUAGAUAUGAACCUACCAGGCCUAUCUCAUAGCAGAAGGAGAGGAAAUAAAAAAGAGAAAAAGGAAAAAAAAACGUGAUGAUUGGUACUCUGGCCCACCAGAAGAAUAGCUUUUAUAUUGACCUCUGCUCCAGAUAUUGAGAAGCCACCAGGCUCUCUAUUCUUCUGUACUUCAGCAGAGAAUAGAACUAAAACAGAGAGGAGAGAAAAGAGAGACAGACAGACAUAGAGAGACAGAGACAGAUAGAAAAAGACACAGAGUGAAGUUAGAGACUUGAAGAGACUGGUAAAGGAAAGACAAAGAGAUUGAGACAAAGACAGAGAUUAAAAACUCUGAUCCUCAGACCAACUGGAAGAGGAGACGACCAAGAUCUAGAAAAAGAAUACAAGAGCAGGACCAACAGAGCUAGAAUUCCAUGUGAUGGAAAAGGCUUUUCUCUCAUCCUUAUUAUAUUGUCCUUUAUACUACUAUGCUCUCCUCCGUUCUCCCUUCCAACUUAAUUUAUCAGGUGUAGUUUCAGCCACAACCACAGUAGCACCAUUAACAACUAUGAAGGCCAAGCUUCAGAUCAGGGGUACCUGAACUAUGGCCCAGCAGGCCACAUGCAGAUUUAUUUAUUUAUUUUAUUUAUUUAUGAGGCCACCACACUUCUAGAAGGGGCACGUCUUUCAUUGGUGGUCAGUGAGAUGAGCACUGUAUGUGGUGGUGCCUCAAAGCCUGGUCUCACUAACAUAUAGUACUACUUCUGGUGACAUCAUCCUUUGUGUGGUGCCUUGUUCUGAGAGUAACUGAAGGAGUACGAGGCACCUCACAAAGGAUUAUGUGGCUGCACAAUGGAAGACGUCAGCAUGGUGAGCAGUGAUCUGGGGGAAGGGAUUCCGCACUGUGUAUACUGUUGCCCAGUAUAGUGGUGGCAGUGAUGGACCUGUGCAAGGUGUGACAGAGAGGCCCAUCACAGCCAGCACUGCAGCCUCUGCUAUCCCAAACAGCGCUAUACAGGUUUGUUCAUAGUUUUUUUUUAAUAGUCCGGCCUUCCAAUGUUGUGGCUCAGAUCCUCUGUUUAGCCUGAGGGAAAGAAAAGGACUGGGAGCAGAGCCAAGAGGAAGCAGCUUUCAUGGCCAAUAAACAAGGGAAGAGAGUCAAAUCAAGAAAAAUUUCUAGACCUUGUCUUGAGCUCUAUUCACUGCUCCUGGUCAGGUGUCUUGCAGAAGGGAGGGUUCCCAUCUCCCAGGAGUAAAGGAAUAGAGAAGAAAUUACCUGUCGGGGCUAUAGAGAGGAGAAACACUCAUGACAGAACAAGAGGUAGUUUCACAGGAAGUAAAAUGGAGGUGAUUUGCCUCCAAUGGAAGACUGACCUCCAGAAGAAAGUCCCUGCAUGUCAGACCUUUAAACUGAAUUUGUAUAGUCUAGCUCUUUUGCAUUAAGUAUAAAUACCAGUCAAUUGACAAAUUUUGGGUCUCAGACAAUACUUGGUAAAUCUACAGACCACUGAUUCAUUGAUAUGACUUGUGCAUUUAUAAUAAAGUCAGUUUUGUUCAG